Molecule: long non-coding RNA, 99 nt
Organism: Thalassophryne amazonica
Lineage: Eukaryota; Metazoa; Chordata; Actinopteri; Batrachoidiformes; Batrachoididae
Exons: 4
Source: RefSeq, a predicted model, not a curated record
GUAAUCCCGGUGUAUCAUCAGAUGGUCACUAACAGCCUAAAUGUAAGUUGUUAUGAUUUCUGUGCAACAUGUCCUUUAAUUUAAAUUUUUUGUGCAUGU